UACAGAGGUGGCGAGCGUUGUCCGACGUUACUGGGCGUAAAGCGCGCGCAGGCGGUUCGGUAAGUCAGGUGUGAAAUCCCGGGGCUCAACCUCGGAAGGGCACAUGAUACUGCCAAACUUGAGUACUGGAGAGGAGAGUGGAAUUCCCGGUGUAGAGGUGAAAUUCGUAGAUAUCGGGAGGAACACCAGUGGCGAAGGCGACUCUCUGGACAGAUACUGACGCUGAGGCGCGAAAGCGUGGGAAGCAAACAGG
This 253-nucleotide ribosomal RNA is filed under the name uncultured bacterium. RNAcentral's name for it is "partial 16S ribosomal RNA". It matches the Rfam family "Bacterial small subunit ribosomal RNA", at positions 524 to 776 of the family's 1533-position model. The record is from RNAcentral.